GCCCCAGUAACGGCGAGUGAAGCGGCAACAGCUCAAAUUUGAAAUCUGGCCCCCAGGGUCCGAGUUGUAAUUUGCAGAGGAUGCUUUUGGCGAGGUGCCUUCCGAGUUCCCUGGAACGGGACGCCAUAGAGGGUGAGAGCCCCGUCUGGUUGGACACCGAGCCUCUGUAAAGCUCCUUCGACGAGUCGAGUAGUUUGGGAAUGCUGCUCUAAAUGGGAGGUAUAUGUCUUCUAAAGCUAAAUAUUGGCCAGAGACCGAUAGCGCACAAGUAGAGUGAU
RNAcentral lists this ribosomal RNA (278 nucleotides) under Clavicipitaceae sp. RNAcentral describes it as "partial large subunit ribosomal RNA". It matches the Rfam family "Eukaryotic large subunit ribosomal RNA", at positions 77 to 357 of the family's 3401-position model. The record is from RNAcentral. Lineage: Eukaryota; Fungi; Ascomycota; Sordariomycetes; Hypocreales; Clavicipitaceae.